AUUGAACGCCGGCGGAAUGCUUUACACAUGCAAGUCGAACGGCAGCACGGGGGCAGCCCUGGUGGCGAGUGGCGAACGGGUGAGUAAUACAUCGGAACGUGCCCGGUCGUGGGGGAUAACGUAGCGAAAGUUACGCUAAUACCGCAUACGAUCUGAGGAUGAAAGCGGGGGACCUUCGGGCCUCGCGCGAUCGGAGCGGCCGAUGUCAGAUUAGGUAGUUGGUGGGGUAAAGGCCUACCAAGCCGACGAUCUGUAGCUGGUCUGAGAGGACGACCAGCCACACUGGGACUGAGACACGGCCCAGACUCCUACGGGAGGCAGCAGUGGGGAAUUUUGGACAAUGGGCGCAAGCCUGAUCCAGCCAUUCCGCGUGCAGGACGAAGGCCUUCGGGUCGUAAACUGCUUUUGUACGGAACGAAAAGGCUCUGGCUAAUACCUGGGGCUCAUGACGGUACCGUAAGAAUAAGCACCGGCUAACUACGUG
Molecule: ribosomal RNA, 484 nt
Filed under: uncultured bacterium
Lineage: Bacteria
Description: partial 16S ribosomal RNA
Rfam family: Bacterial small subunit ribosomal RNA
Source: RNAcentral